RNAcentral lists this ribosomal RNA (1403 nucleotides) under 'Poa annua' phytoplasma. RNAcentral describes it as "bacterial SSU rRNA". It matches the Rfam family "Bacterial small subunit ribosomal RNA", at positions 173 to 1533 of the family's 1533-position model. Lineage: Bacteria; Bacillati; Mycoplasmatota; Mollicutes; Acholeplasmatales; Acholeplasmataceae. The record is from RNAcentral.
AUAGGAGAUAAGAAGGCAUCUUCUUGUUUUUAAAAGACCUAGCAAUAGGUAUGCUUAGGGAGGAGCUUGCGUCACAUUAGUUAGUUGGUGGGGUAAAGGCCUACCAAGACUACGAUGUGUAGCCGGGCUGAGAGGUUGAACGGCCACAUUGGGACUGAGACACGGCCCAAACUCCUGCGGGAGGCAGCAGUAGGGAAUUUUCGGCAAUGGAGGAAACUCUGACCGAGCAACGCCGCGUGAACGAUGAAGUAUUUCGGUACGUAAAGUUCUUUUAUUAGGGAAGAAUAAAUGAUGGAAAAAUCAUUCUGACGGUACCUAAUGAAUAAGCCCCGGCUAACUAUGUGCCAGCAGCCGCGGUAAUACAUAGGGGGCAAGCGUUAUCCGGAAUUAUUGGGCGUAAAGGGUGCGUAGGCGGUUAAAUAAGUUUAUGGUCUAAGUGCAAUGCUUAACAUUGUGAUGCUAUAAAAACUGUUUAGCUAGAGUAAGAUAGAGGCAAGUGGAAUUCCAUGUGUAGUGGUAAAAUGCGUAAAUAUAUGGAGGAACACCAGUAGCGAAGGCGGCUUGCUGGGUCUUUACUGACGCUGAGGCACGAAAGCGUGGGGAGCAAACAGGAUUAGAUACCCUGGUAGUCCACGCCGUAAACGAUGAGUACUAAAUGUUGGGUAAAACCAGYGUUGAAGUUAACACAUUAAGUACUCCGCCUGAGUAGUACGUACGCAAGUAUGAAACUUAAAGGAAUUGACGGGACUCCGCACAAGCGGUGGAUCAUGUUGUUUAAUUCGAAGGUACCCGAAAAACCUCACCAGGUCUUGACAUGCUUCUGCAAAGCUGUAGAAACACAGUGGAGGUUAUCAGUUGCACAGGUGGUGCAUGGUUGUCGUCAGCUCGUGUCGUGAGAUGUUGGGUUAAGUCCCGCAACGAGCGCAACCCUUAUUGUUAGUUGCCAGCACGUAAUGGUGGGGACUUUAGCAAGACUGCCAGUGAUAAAUUGGAGGAAGGUGGGGACGACGUCAAAUCAUCAUGCCCCUUAUGACCUGGGCUACAAACGUGAUACAAUGGCUGUUACAAAGGGUAGCUGAAACGYAAGUUUUUGGCGAAUCUCAAAAAAACAGUCUCAGUUCGGAUUGAAGUCUGCAACUCGACUUCAUGAAGUUGGAAUCGCUAGUAAUCGCGAAUCAGCAUGUCGCGGUGAAUACGUUCUCGGGGUUUGUACACACCGCCCGUCAAACCACGAAAGUUGGCAAUACCCAAAGCCGGUGGCCUAACUUCGCAAGAAGAGGGAACCGUCUAAGGUAGGGUCGAUGAUUGGGGUUAAGUCGUAACAAGGUAUCCCUACCGGAAGGUGGGGAUGGAUCACCUCCUUUCUAAGGAAACAAUUAUCAUCUUCAGUUUUGAGAGACUUA